CUUAUCAAGAGAGGCUGAGGAACUGGUCCUGUGACGCCCGGCAACCGCUCAUAUUCGAGAAAGGUGCUAAUUCCUGCGGAUGCUUGCAUCCGAGAGAUGAGG
RNAcentral lists this non-coding RNA (102 nucleotides) under uncultured Ruminococcus sp. RNAcentral's name for it is "SAM riboswitch (S box leader)". It matches the Rfam family "SAM riboswitch aptamer (S box leader)". Rfam says of the family: The SAM riboswitch is found upstream of a number of genes which code for proteins involved in methionine or cysteine biosynthesis in Gram-positive bacteria. Lineage: Bacteria; Bacillati; Bacillota; Clostridia; Eubacteriales; Oscillospiraceae. The record is from RNAcentral.